This 597-nucleotide ribosomal RNA is filed under the name Kjeldsenia aureispora. Its description in RNAcentral is "eukaryotic LSU rRNA". It matches the Rfam family "Eukaryotic large subunit ribosomal RNA", at positions 43 to 634 of the family's 3401-position model. Lineage: Eukaryota; Fungi; Basidiomycota; Agaricomycetes; Phallales; Claustulaceae. The record is from RNAcentral.
UCAAUAAGCGGAGGAAAAGAAACUAACGAGGAUUCCCUUAGUAACUGCGAGUGAAGCGGGAAGAGCUCAAAUUUGUAAUCUGGCGGUCCCCAGGCGUCCGAGUUGUAAUCUGGAGAAGCGUCUUCGGCGCCGGUCCCGUGCACAAGUCCCUUGGAACAGGGCGUCGUAGAGGGUGAGAAUCCCGUCCACGGCACGGCGGAUCGGGGCCAUGCGAUGCGCUCUCGAAGAGUCGAGUUGUUUGGGAAUGCAGCUCAAAACGGGUGGUAAAUUCCAUCUAAAGCUAAAUAUUGGCGAAAGACCGAUAGCGAACAAGUACCGUGAGGGAAAGAUGAAAAGCACUUUGGAAAGAGAGUCAAACAGUACGUGAAAUUGUUGAAAGGGAAACGCUUGAAGUCAGUCGCGUCUGCCGGGACUCAGCCGGGUUCGAAAGAACUCGGUGCAUUUCCUGCCAUCGACGGGCCAGUGUCGAUUUCGACCGUCGGAGAAAGGCCGGAGGAAUGUGGCACCUCCGGGUGUGUUAUAGCCUCGGGUCGCAUAUGUCGGUCGGGAUCGAGGAACGCAGCGCGCGUCUACCUCUACGGGGAUGCCGGGUUCGCC